ACGUCACUGGGCUAUUGUCGCCGUUUCGUUGUUUUUCCCGAGUCGCGCGGCGCGAACGCGAGCUCGUAGCCCACCAGAACGAGUCCAUACGGGCAUGCGAACAGAAGCGGAAGCAGCCCAAGUAUAUUUUUAUAUAGUGCGAUUAGUGGACUGUAAAAGGUAAAAUCGUUUGUGCUCUAUAUAAUAAGUAAAACGAAACUCAAAAUAUUUUCUCGCCCCACCUGGAAAUACGUGGAGACGAGGGCGUCAUUACAGACGCGGCGGAUCGACACGACACAGGGUCGUGGCUCGAUUGCAUCGAAAGGUGCGACACCGCGCACGAGGCACGGAAGCUUCACAAAACAACCCUAAAAUGCAAUGGCUGAUCUGGUACGAGUAAACUAUUGUCAGAUAUAUGAAAAAUCAACGUUGGGCAUUUUAUUUUCAGUAACUCCUGCUUGCACAAGUCACCAUUUUGCUUGUGGUACAAUCUAAACAUAGUGUCUAACCAUCUCGACAUAGUCUGUUUGAUGUAAUCUUCACCAUAAAAUGUCGUCAUAACUUUCUUCAUAUAGUUUAUAACCUUGUCAAUGACCACUGUAGCUAGACGACAAUAUUUCAUGAAGAGUUAUUUUAUAAAAUAACUUAAAACAAAAUCCUCUUAUGUUAGCUUCGAAUACUGAAAAUAUACAUAAUGUGUACCUUGGA
Molecule: long non-coding RNA, 687 nt
Organism: Ooceraea biroi (clonal raider ant)
Lineage: Eukaryota; Metazoa; Arthropoda; Insecta; Hymenoptera; Formicidae
Source: RefSeq, a predicted model, not a curated record